Long non-coding RNA from Bombina bombina (fire-bellied toad), 1059 nucleotides. RefSeq lists it as uncharacterized. NCBI's taxonomy places the organism in Eukaryota, Metazoa, Chordata, Amphibia, Anura, Bombinatoridae. The transcript has 2 exons. The record is from RefSeq and is a predicted model, not a curated record.
GGGCUAGGGAUGGGUGUGUUUAUUCCAAUAAUUUUAACAGAUGUCAGUGUUCCCUCCUGGGAAAACUCUCAGCUUGAAAUGGAAGAAGUAUGAACGCUGCAAGAUGCUGCCAAGGGCCUUGCAGAGGUCCGCUUCAUGUCUGGAUAGUGGGGCACUCGUUCAUGCACUGGUCAGCCAUCCGAGCAUCAACGCGACCUGUAGGACAGCAGCUGGGAUUUUCUGCUUCUAGGGUGGUGCUUAGAUGGUUAGGGAGGAGAGGCUUUUGCUGGGAGGCCUGGAUUAUUGCAAGAUGCCAUGAGGCGCUGGGAGAAACCCCACAUCUUGAUCCUCCACUUGGGGGAAAAUGACCUUGGAUCAAUUCCCGGAUGGGAUUUGAGUGCAGUGAUCCAGUCAUAACUUGCGUAUGUUCAAAGCUUGGAUGCCUGGUGUGAGAAUCGGGUGGUCGAACAUUAUCCCCAGAUUGACGUGGAGGCAUAUGACCAACCACAGGGCUGCUUUCCAGGUCAGGAAAAAGCUGAACAGAGAUGUUAGAAAGUUAAUGUUCGAGGCUAGAGGAUUUGUUGUGAAGCACAGGAACAUUACGGCAGUGGACCCGGAGCCUCUACCAAGGCGAUGAGGUGCAUUUAUCUCACCAUGGCAUAGACCUGUUUAUUGAGGAUUUGAGACAGUCCCUACUCCUAUUUGUGUGAGUUGUGGGUGGCGGCGAGAGUUGCCCUGAAUAUGUGGGGUGAUCUUGUGUCGGUUGGACGAGUGUCAGGGGAUAGGAUGUAAUCAAGGUAGAGUGAUGGCUACUUCCGGACAGGGGUGAAGUCCUCAGACAAGCGUCUGGGGGGGGUCCCCUGUCUGUGUGAUCCGAAACCGAGAACUCCCUAAGCCAUUCUAGUAUUGAGCUAUGCUCUGCUUACUCUCCUGCAUCCCUGGUACUGCCCCAUCUUGUUAGCAUGGGUUACUACGCAUUAGCUAGUACCUGAUUGCCACCCCCUGGUCCAUGUUAUUUGUGCUGUUUGUUGGGUUCCUUGUGUUGCCACAAUAAACAUGACCUGCGGGUUUUAUAACCAA